AACGGAAACAGAGGCUGCAGCCACAGCCCAGGAACGGUGGUCUUUCGCACACAUGGGGCAGCCUCUGCCACAACUUUUUCUUCCAAGGAAAUCAACACAAAUGAAAACUGGCUGAUGCUCUGGUCCACCAGAGGCUGAAGAAGAAAACCGCAAAAUGGAGACUGCCCAAUUCUAAUUUAAUUCAGAAGAACAAACAGGGCAUCACUCAGCGGACUUCAAAUCCCCAGUCAGAAGAUUUUGCCCGUGGAGCAAAUCGUUUCAUGGGCCAUCUACCCCACCUACUCCCUCCUGCCACAGCAAGGAGGUGAAAAUAGCUCAUGAAGCCAUGGUUGAAGGAAGAGAAGCUAAGAGGAUGAAAUAGGAAUUCAAAGUGCAAGUCCAUCAUACCAAAGAGCUGUCUCAAUUACAUCCUGACCCCUUUUAGUAAUGUGGCCAGGGGUGUGCUUGCAGUUGGUUUAGUCCCCUGACAUUUCACCACCUCCAAGAUAGGCCUGGGACUGCUGAGACCCCAGUGGUAACCAAACCAAGGAUCCUGAGAACUUCCCAGUGCCCAAGCUGGCAAACAAAAGAACAUGAGUGUUGUUUGGGUUAGCCCACAACUAACUCCUCCAUGAGCUGCCAAACACUCAGUAUACAUUCUCGUCACCAAGAAAUGCCACUGGAAUGAAUCUGCACCAAAGCUGUUUAUGUGACUAAUGAACCUCCAUUACGUUGCAUCCAAGUAGGAGUAAAAUUUAUAUUCUACUCA
Molecule: long non-coding RNA, 748 nt
Organism: Homo sapiens (human)
Lineage: Eukaryota; Metazoa; Chordata; Mammalia; Primates; Hominidae
Product: long intergenic non-protein coding RNA 2097
Source: Ensembl